AGGCGUCGAGCGGCGGACGGGUGAGUAACGCGUAGGAAUCUACCCAGUAGAGGGGGAUAGCCCGGGGAAACUCGGGCUAAUACCGCAUACGCCCUACGGGGGAAAGCGGGGGAUCUUCGGACCUCGCGCUAUUAGAUGAGCCCAAGUCGGAUUAGCUUGUUGGUGAGGUAAAGGCUCACCAAGGCGACGAUCCGUAGCUGGUCUGAGAGGACGAUCAGCCACACUGGGACUGAGACACGGCCCAGACUCC
RNAcentral lists this ribosomal RNA (250 nucleotides) under uncultured bacterium. RNAcentral's name for it is "partial 16S ribosomal RNA". It matches the Rfam family "Bacterial small subunit ribosomal RNA", at positions 86 to 339 of the family's 1533-position model. The record is from RNAcentral.